This 884-nucleotide ribosomal RNA is filed under the name uncultured bacterium. RNAcentral describes it as "bacterial SSU rRNA". It matches the Rfam family "Bacterial small subunit ribosomal RNA", at positions 26 to 896 of the family's 1533-position model. The record is from RNAcentral.
AGAACGAACGCUGGCGGCGCGUUUUAAGCAUGCAAGUCGAACGGCAAGGCGGGUAGCAAUAUCUGUCUGAGAGUGGCGAACGGGUGAGUAACACGUAGGUGAUCUGCCUCUGGAUGGGGGAUAGCCCGUGGAAACACGGGGUAAUACCGCAUGAGGCCCUUGGAGUAGAGUCUGAGGGUGAAAGGUGCAACUGCAUCGUCUGGGGAUGAGCCUGCGGUCCAUUAGGUAGUUGGCGGGGUAAGAGCCCACCAAGCCGACGAUGGAUAGCCGGCCUGAGAGGGUGUACGGCCACACUGGAACUGAGACACGGUCCAGACUCCUACGGGAGGCAGCAGCUAAGAAUCUUCCGCGAUGGGGGAAACCCUGACGGAGCGACGCCGCGUGGAUGAUGAAGGCCGUAAGGUUGUAAAAUCCUUUUGUCGGUGAAGAAUAAGGGAGGGAGUGGAAAGCCCUUCUGAUGACGUUAGCCGAUGAAUAAGCCCCGGCUAAUUACGUGCCAGCAGCCGCGGUAAUACGUAUGGGGCAAGCGUUGUUCGGAGUUAUUGGGCGUAAAGGGCGUGUAGGCGGCUCAUCAAGUCUGGUGUGAAAAUGCAGGGCUUAACCCUGCAGAUGCGCUGGAAACUGGUGGGCUUGAGUUCUUGAGGGGAAGCUGGAAUUCCAGGUGUAGGGGUGAAAUCUGUAGAUAUCUGGAAGAACACCGGUGGCGAAGGCGAGCUUCUAUCAGAGGACUGACGCUGAGGCGCGAAAGCGUGGGGAGCAAACAGGAUUAGAUACCCUGGUAGUCCACGCUGUAAACGAUGUGCACUAGGCGUGGGGCCCGUACGGGUUCUGUGCCGUAGUUAACGUGUUAAGUGCACCGCCUGGGGAGUAUGCUCGCAAGGGUG